This 68-nucleotide transfer RNA is filed under the name Hypselodoris apolegma. Its description in RNAcentral is "tRNA-Ala". Lineage: Eukaryota; Metazoa; Mollusca; Gastropoda; Nudibranchia; Chromodorididae. The record is from RNAcentral.
GGUUUUGUACUUUAUAUUGUAGAAGAUUUGGUUUGCAACUAAAUAGAAGAAUACAAUUCUCUAAACCA